GAAAUUUCUUUAACUUCCUGUGCUUUUGGUGGUGUCCAAGAGAAAGCUAAAGAACAAUUUUGGGGAGUUUCAUGUUUUGGAGCCAUGAACCAGCCAUUGCACUGAACUUGAAAGUUUUUCCUCAGAACCCUGAUCUGGGUGUUCAUCCACAGCCAUCUCCUGCUUUGCUGAGCUGUUUCCUUGUUUGCAGAAAUCAGCACAGAACCACGCAGAAGGCAGUGUGGCUGCGGUGCAAUGCUGCAUUUGGAAGUGGUGGGCUGAAGACCCAGAAGACCUGCAAGUGAAUGGAGGCUCGGAU
RNAcentral lists this long non-coding RNA (298 nucleotides) under Homo sapiens (human). RNAcentral describes it as "HSALNT0258199". The record is from RNAcentral. Lineage: Eukaryota; Metazoa; Chordata; Mammalia; Primates; Hominidae.